GAUGAACGCUGGCGGCGUGCCUAAUACAUGCAAGUCGAGCGAACGGACGAGAAGCUUGCUUUUCUGAUGUUAGCGGCGGACGGGUGAGUAACACGUGGAUAACCUACCUAUAAGACUGGGAUAACUUCGGGAAACCGGAGCUAAUACCGGAUAAUAUUUUGAACCGCAUGGUUCAAAAGUGAAAGACGGUCUUGCUGUCACUUAUAGAUGGAUCCGCGCUGCAUUAGCUAGUUGGUAAGGUAACGGCUUACCAAGGCAACGAUGCAUAGCCGACCUGAGAGGGUGAUCGGCCACACUGGAACUGAGACACGGUCCAGACUCCUACGGGAGGCAGCAGUGGGGAAUCUUCCGCAAAGGGCGAAAGCCUGACGGAGCAACGCCGCGUGAGUGAUGAAGGUCUUCGGAUCGUAAAACUCUGUUAUUAGGGAAGAACAUAUGUGUAAGUAACUGUGCACAUCUUGACGGUACCUAAUCAGAAAGCCCCGGCUAACUACGUG
Molecule: ribosomal RNA, 497 nt
Filed under: uncultured bacterium
Lineage: Bacteria
Description: partial 16S ribosomal RNA
Rfam family: Bacterial small subunit ribosomal RNA
Source: RNAcentral